RNAcentral lists this ribosomal RNA (473 nucleotides) under uncultured bacterium. RNAcentral's name for it is "SSU rRNA". It matches the Rfam family "Bacterial small subunit ribosomal RNA", at positions 26 to 518 of the family's 1533-position model. The record is from RNAcentral.
AGGACGAACGCUGGCGGCGUGCUUAACACAUGCAAGUCGAGCGGAAAGGCCCUUCGGGGUACUCGAGCGGCGAACGGGUGAGUAACACGUGAGUAACCUGCCCCUAGCUUCGGGAUAGCUCCGGGAAACCGGAAUUAAUACCGGAUAUGACCACGGCCGACAUCGGCCACGGUGGAAAGAUUCAUCGGCUAGGGAUGGGCUCGCGGCCUAUCAGCUUGUUGGUGGGGUAACAGCCUACCAAGGCGACGACGGGUAGCCGGCCUGAGAGGGCGACCGGCCACACUGGGACUGAGACACGGCCCAGACUCCUACGGGAGGCAGCAGUGGGGAAUAUUGCGCAAUGGGCGAAAGCCUGACGCAGCGACGCCGCGUGGGGGAUGAAGGCCUUCGGGUUGUAAACCCUUUCGGCAGGGACGAAGCGAAAGUGACGGUACCUGCAGAAGAAGCGCGGCUAACUACGUGCCAGCAGCCGC